This 402-nucleotide ribosomal RNA is filed under the name uncultured Planctomycetales bacterium. Its description in RNAcentral is "bacterial SSU rRNA". It matches the Rfam family "Bacterial small subunit ribosomal RNA", at positions 53 to 469 of the family's 1533-position model. Lineage: Bacteria; Pseudomonadati; Planctomycetota; Planctomycetia; Planctomycetales. The record is from RNAcentral.
GCAUGCAAGUCGAGCGAGAAAUUUACUUCGGUAAAUGGACAGCGGCGAAAGGGACAGUAAUGUGUAGGUACCUACCCUCUGAUCUGGGAUAGCUGCGGGAAACUGCAGGUAAUACCGGAUAAUGUCUUCGGACCAAAGGUGUGAUUCCGUCUGAGGAGGGGCCUGCAUCCUAUUAGCUUGUUGGUGAGGUAAUGGCUCACCAAGGCAACGAUGGGUAGCGGGUGUGAGAGCAUGACCCGCGUCAUUGGGACUGAGACACUGCCCAGACAUCUACGGAUGGCUGCAGUCGAGAAUCUUCGGCAAUGGGCGAAAGCCUGACCGAGCGACGCCGCGUGCGGGAUGAAGGCCCUCGGGUUGUAAACCGCUGUCGUUGGGGAGGAAAUGCAGGAGGGCUAUCCCUCU